CUCCGACGAGGACGUCCGCGCCGCCGCCCGCGCCGCCCAGGCGGAGGGCUUCGUCGAGGCCCUCCCCGCCGGGUUCGACACCCGCGUCGGAGA
RNAcentral lists this transfer RNA (93 nucleotides) under Streptomyces roseochromogenus. RNAcentral describes it as "tRNA-Arg". Lineage: Bacteria; Bacillati; Actinomycetota; Actinomycetes; Kitasatosporales; Streptomycetaceae. The record is from RNAcentral.